Molecule: ribosomal RNA, 273 nt
Filed under: uncultured bacterium
Lineage: Bacteria
Description: partial 16S ribosomal RNA
Rfam family: Bacterial small subunit ribosomal RNA
Source: RNAcentral
AUACGGAGGGUGCAAGCGUUACUCGGAAUCACUGGGCGUAAAGCGCGCGCAGGCGGCUAUUUAAGUUGGAUGUGAAAGCCUACGGCUCAACCGUAGAACUGCAUCCAAAACUAUUUAGCUAGAGUGUGGGAGAGGAAGAUGGAAUUAGUUGUGUAGGGGUAAAAUCCGUAGAGAUAACUAGGAAUACCAAAAGCGAAGGCAAUCUUCUGGAACACUACUGACGCUGAGGCGCGAAAGCGUGGGGAGCAAACGGGAUUAGAUACCCCAGAGUCC